Molecule: ribosomal RNA, 471 nt
Filed under: uncultured bacterium
Lineage: Bacteria
Description: SSU rRNA
Rfam family: Bacterial small subunit ribosomal RNA
Source: RNAcentral
AGGACGAACGCUGGCGGCGUGCUUAACACAUGCAAGUCGAGCGGAAAGGCCCUUCGGGGUACUCGAGCGGCGAACGGGUGAGUAACACGUGAGCAAUCUGCCCUUAGCUUCGGGAUAGCCCCGGGAAACCGGGAUUAAUACCGAAUAUGACCUUGGCCGACAUCGGCCUUGGUGGAAAGUUUUUCGGCUAGGGAUGAACUCGCGGCCUAUCAGCUUGUUGGUGGGGUAAUGGCCUACCAAGGCGACGACGGGUAGCCGGCCUGAGAGGGCGACCGGCCACACUGGGACUGAGACACGGCCCAGACUCCUACGGGAGGCAGCAGUGGGGAUAUUGCGCAAUGGGCGAAAGCCUGACGCAGCGACGCCGCGUGGGGGAUGAAGGCCUUCGGGUUGUAACCCUUUCAGCAGGGACGAAGCGAGAGUGACGGUACCUGCAGAAGAAGCGCCGGCUAACUACGUGUCAGCAGCCGC